UCUCUGUUAGUAUAUCGGUUAGUACACGCGCCUGUCACCUCUGCUGGCCGCGCGAAAGCGGGGUUCGACUCCCCGACAGAGAG
This 83-nucleotide transfer RNA is filed under the name Trametes sanguinea. RNAcentral's name for it is "tRNA-Asp". It matches the Rfam family "tRNA". From Rfam's summary of the family: Transfer RNA (tRNA) molecules are approximately 80 nucleotides in length. Their secondary structure includes four short double-helical elements and three loops (D, anti-codon, and T loops). Further hydrogen bonds mediate the characteristic L-shaped molecular structure. tRNAs have two regions of fundamental functional importance: the anti-codon, which is responsible for specific mRNA codon recognition, and the 3' end, to which the tRNAs corresponding amino acid is attached (by aminoacyl-tRNA synthetases). tRNAs cope with the degeneracy of the genetic code in two manners: having more than one tRNA (with a specific anti-codon) for a particular amino acid; and 'wobble' base-pairing, i.e. permitting non-standard base-pairing at the 3rd anti-codon position. The record is from RNAcentral. Lineage: Eukaryota; Fungi; Basidiomycota; Agaricomycetes; Polyporales; Polyporaceae.